Poecilia reticulata (guppy) is the source of this 329-nucleotide non-coding RNA. NCBI's taxonomy places the organism in Eukaryota, Metazoa, Chordata, Actinopteri, Cyprinodontiformes, Poeciliidae. The record is from RefSeq and is a predicted model, not a curated record.
CCUACCUCGAGCUACUCCUUCCUAGAUCUGUUCCCAGAUUCUGACUCUUCUUGUCUCUGUGUCCACAGCUGCCCUGGUCCUGAAUUAUCAGGUCAACUACCAAUCCUCGAGACGGAACCCUCGCCACCUGGAGUUUUAUCUGUCCGUCCUCCACCGUCACCACCGACCUCAGCCCUCUACCCACUGACCAGCCUCUAGAGCCUCAAGGUCCUCUCCGGGUCCAACCCACCUCCCCUGAACAGUUGCCCUGAUACCUGCCAGACGAACCAAGGAUUCCAUUUCUCACUGUUUAUAUUCAUUGUAAAUAAAUCACAUUAUUGUCUUCCCUG